GGCUGAGUAGCUCAGUUGGUGAGAGCGCACGACUCAUAAUCGUGAGGUCGCGGGUUCGAGUCCCGCCUCAGCUACCG
RNAcentral lists this transfer RNA (77 nucleotides) under Leifsonia xyli. Its description in RNAcentral is "tRNA-Met". It matches the Rfam family "tRNA". From Rfam's summary of the family: Transfer RNA (tRNA) molecules are approximately 80 nucleotides in length. Their secondary structure includes four short double-helical elements and three loops (D, anti-codon, and T loops). The record is from RNAcentral. Lineage: Bacteria; Bacillati; Actinomycetota; Actinomycetes; Micrococcales; Microbacteriaceae. RNAcentral also lists the same sequence under 1 other name.